CGUAGGUGACCUGCGGAGGGAUCAUUACCGAGUUCAUGCCCUUACGGGUAGACCUCCCACCCUAUGUUAUAUUACCUUUGUUGCUUUGGCGGGCCGCCCGGCUUCGGCCAGGCUACCGGCUCCAGCUGGUAAGCGCUCGCCAGAGGACCCUCAACUCUGAAUAUCAGUGUCGUCUGAGUACUAUAAAAUAGUUAAAACUUUCAACAACGGAUCUCUUGGUUCUGGCAUCGAUGAAGAACGCAGCGAAAUGCGAUAAGUAAUGUGAAUUGCAGAAUUCAGUGAAUCAUCGAAUCUUUGAACGCACAUUGCGCCCCUUGGUAUUCCGAGGGGCAUGCCUGUUCGAGCGUCAUUACAACCCUCAAGCACUGCUUGGUAUUGGGCUCCGCUGGCUCCAGCGGGCCUUAAAAUCAGUGGCGGCGCCGUUUGGGCUCUGAGCGUAGUAAAUAUCCUCGCUAUAGAGACCAGGCGGUUCUUGUCAUCAACCCCCAACUUUCUAAGUUUGACCUCGGAUCAGGUAGGGAUACCCGCUGAACUUAAGCAUAUCAAUAAG
Molecule: ribosomal RNA, 550 nt
Filed under: Helotiales sp.
Lineage: Eukaryota; Fungi; Ascomycota; Leotiomycetes; Helotiales
Description: eukaryotic LSU rRNA
Rfam family: 5.8S ribosomal RNA (bases 196-349)
Source: RNAcentral